CCUACGGGUGGCAGCAGUGAGGAAUAUUGGUCAAUGGGCGCGAGCCUGAACCAGCCAUGUAGCGUGCAGGAUGACUGCCCUAUGGGUUGUAAACUUCUUUUAUAAAGGAAUAAAGUGAGGCACGCGUGCCUUUUUGUAUGUACUUUAUGAAUAAGGAUCGGCUAACUCCGUGCCAGCAGCCGCGGUAAUACGGAGGAUCCGAGCGUUAUCCGGAUUUAUUGGGUUUAAAGGGAGCGUAGAUGGGUUGUUAAGUCAGUUGUGAAAGUUUGCGGCUCAACCGUAAAAUUGCAUUUGAUACUGGCCGGCUUGAGGACAGUUGAGGUAGGCGGAAUGCGUGGUGUAGCGGUGAAAUGCUUAGAUAUCACGAAGAACUCCGAUUGCGAAGGCAGCCUACUAAGCUGCCACUGACAUUGAUGCACGAAAGUGUGGGUAGCAAACAGGAUUAGAUACCCGAGUAGUC
RNAcentral lists this ribosomal RNA (460 nucleotides) under uncultured bacterium. Its description in RNAcentral is "partial 16S ribosomal RNA". It matches the Rfam family "Bacterial small subunit ribosomal RNA", at positions 338 to 795 of the family's 1533-position model. The record is from RNAcentral.